GACGAACGCUGGCGGCGUGCUUAACACAUGCAAGUCGAACGGUAAGGCCCUUCGGGGUACACGAGUGGCGAACGGGUGAGUAACACGUGGGUGAUCUGCCCUGCACUUCGGGAUAAGCCUGGGAAACUGGGUCUAAUACCGGAUAGGACCACUGCCUGCAUGGGUGGUGGUGGAAAGCUUUUGCGGUGUGGGAUGGGCCCGCGGCCUAUCAGCCUGGUGGUGGGGUGAUGGCCUACCAAGGCGACGACGGGUAGCCGGCCUGAGAGGGUGUCCGGCCACACUGGGACUGAGAUACGGCCCAGACUCCUACGGGAGGCAGCAGUGGGGAAUAUUGCACAAUGGGCGCAAGCCUGAUGCAGCGACGCCGCGUGAGGGAUGACGGCCUUCGGGUUGUAAACCUCUUUCAGCACCGACGAAGCGCAAGUGACGGUAGGUGCAGAAGAAGGACCGGCCAACUACGUGCCAGCAGCCGCGGUAA
Molecule: ribosomal RNA, 478 nt
Filed under: uncultured bacterium
Lineage: Bacteria
Description: partial 16S ribosomal RNA
Rfam family: Bacterial small subunit ribosomal RNA
Source: RNAcentral